RNAcentral lists this ribosomal RNA (492 nucleotides) under uncultured bacterium. RNAcentral describes it as "partial 16S ribosomal RNA". It matches the Rfam family "Bacterial small subunit ribosomal RNA", at positions 28 to 523 of the family's 1533-position model. The record is from RNAcentral.
GACGAACGCUGGCUGCGUGCUUAACACAUGCAAGUCGAACGCUGAAACCCUGGUGCUUGCACCGGGGUGGAUGAGUGGCGAACGGGUGAGUAACACGUGAGUAACCUGCCCCCGACUUCGGGAUAAGCCCGGGAAACUGGGUCUAAUACCGGAUAUGAGCGCCCCUCGCAUGAGGGAUGCUGGAAAGUCUUUUCGGUUGGGGAUGGGCUCGCGGCCUAUCAGUUUGUUGGUGAGGUAAUGGCUCACCAAGACGACGACGGGUAGCCGGCCUGGGAGGGCGACCGGCCACACUGGGACUGAGACACGGCCCAGACUCCUACGGGAGGCAGCAGUGGGGAAUAUUGCACAAUGGGGGAGACCCUGAUGCAGCGACGCAGCGUGCGGGAUGACGGCCUUCGGGUUGUAAACCGCUUUCAGCAGGGAAGAAGCCCCUUGGGGUGACGGUACCUGCAGAAGAAGUACCGGCUAACUACGUGCCAGCAGCCGCCGUAA